Physcomitrium patens is the source of this 2847-nucleotide long non-coding RNA. RefSeq lists it as uncharacterized. The record is from RefSeq and is a predicted model, not a curated record. Lineage: Eukaryota; Viridiplantae; Streptophyta; Bryopsida; Funariales; Funariaceae.
AUCCACACAAAGGCAUAGCACGAAUUUUGCCAAAUUUUCAAAAAUGGAAUAUUAGUAAUAAAAAAAACUUUGGUCUGUGCGGUUGAGGAUCAUGAACACGUUAUUCAAAGUAAGUCCCAGAAGAGGUCAGGGAACCGUUAAGGGAACAUUGGGAACUGGGAUCAGGGAACGGUAGGGAACGAAUCGAGGUGGGGUCCAACUGAAUAAAAUGGGGGCAGAGAAGCCAUGCAAACAGUAUUAAAGUGCACGGUCCAAGGGCUUCAUUAUUCAUCCUACUAUCCACACGUCCAUUCCUCUACUUUCAUCUAUAUAUAUAUAUAUAUAUAUGUAUCUGUUGGCCACUUAUAAGAAAUAAGGACUUUCAAUGCCUGUCAGAAAGAUUAUGAAUUCAAUACUAGAGUAUAGAUGAAAAUGGCUAUGAAUGAGAGCUCAUAUUUAUUUAUUUUUGCCGGUGAGGGUGCAGUGAGAGAGCUGAUAUCCUGUUUUGUAACUGCCAGCCCCGUUAUAUUCAUGACUUUUCAUAUUUCUUGCCACUUGAUUGACUUUCCUUGAAGGGGCAGGAUCUUUCUUUGACCGCAAAUAGGCCUGGAAGUUGUUAGGAUCAAUUUGUGAAUGACCCCACAACAACAUAUACCACUUGGUGCUCCAUGAUUGAUGGGAAAUGGACAAGGCAGAGGGCAAUAAACUUGUAGUGUCAGAGGGCUUUGAUGAUCCCCUGUGAAAGCCAGUGUUGCCAUCACCUCCUCAAAAGCAGAGCAAAAUAGGGUUGUAGCACUGUUACCAGGCCGUUUGGCAGGUUUGUUCCCACUUCUUCCCCGUGCAGCACAGUACAUUCGGGAAUCGGGUUUCUAAAUAUAAACAAAACUCGAUGGCGUAUGGAAAGUUUAACAUUCAUAUAUAUAUAUAUAUAUAUAUAUAUCUAUAUAUUUAAAUAAAAGAGCACGAAUAAAAACAGCGAGAGAGAGAGAGAGAGAGAGAGAGGGUUUGGUGAAGAAAUACUUAAGUUCCAUGUGUCUGUUUGAUUUCACUCAUUCAACCCUAAUCUCGACAGUAGCAAUGGAACUCACCUAACCCCAAGUGUCGUGGGCUUGGUUACCGGGAUUCCAACGCCUCACAUUGAAGAAGAAUUUGCGAUCAACUGGCGACUGUAGUGUAUGCAGCAUUGGAUAUGCAUUGUACUACACCAAAGGUCACUGCGGUUGUUCUUCGGCGAAUUAAAGAGCUCAAUUCUGCUGCUUCGAGAUAGAAAUCAAGUCUGGAUUUGUGUAGAGGUUGUGUAGAGGCGCAUCCAAUGAUAGACGCUCAUCUAACUUUCAUAAAUUAGGUUUUCUGUUUACCAGAAAGAUUCAGGUUGUUAUCAGCUGAUUUGUUGACCCAUCGACAAGCAGAAUGCGAAUCACUGAUCGCAUCAUGUCUGCAGCAUUUUGAUUGUGCUCCCUUUGAACUUGAAACAUGUGGUGGCGAACUUGCGAAUGAUUCUUUAGCUACAAGCAAGAAAUCAGGAGCAUUAGUUUAAGAAUUGAACGCCGGUUUGUUGAUUGAGUGCUUGGGCCAGUUGUGGUCAUGGUUUCAAUGGCGCCCCGAGAUUGCUGGUGAGGUCAUGCGAUUUGACUUUGCCAAUUUUUGCCAAUGAGGUACAGAUCUCAGAUUGAGAAAUUUCCGUUCCGUUGAAAUCUAGUUCUCUGUUGUGGAAGUUGGACAUUCUUAUCAGCAAUCGCAACUAUUCCUCAUAUUGUAAUUUGUGAGCCCUUGUCUCUAAGUAAACCAGUAUUCUGCGCCUUUUUGUUUGUCCAAACUGUCAAGGUACAAAUUCUUCAAUUCAGAAGAAUUCUGUGCCUGGAGGUUGUCGUAGAUCCUAGGAGCUCGACCAAGAUGCUUUUAGAGUACUGCAAUUGCUCAUAACACGGAAGUAUUAUUUCUCCUUUUUCUCCAUGUCCAGCGCCUUAGAAUACAUUCUGGAUAGGAAUUAAACCCAGCUCAUUUGCAUGUCGCGUUCAUUUGUGCUUACAAUGCACAGCAUCGAUAUUAUGUCGAGAUGACCAUGGUGUAUGAGUACUUUGCGUCAAAUCAGAUUCCACGUACCAAGGGUGGCUUGCAGCGCCUUCUCAGUUCAGCAAGAAUUUAACGUUAAUCAUGUUAACAUGAGUCCGUGCACAUUGAUUGAACACUUUCUGGAUAGAGUGUAGGAGAGGGAGAUUGACAGGAUAUUCACAAGGCUGGGGCAGCUAGUCACUCUCUGGCAGUUACAAUCCUUACCACAUCACACGAUUCCACAGCAUCUUUGAAAGCCCAAGUGUGUAUUUGCUGAUGGGGGCAGCUCUUCAAUAUGUGUCGAUUGGAAUUUCGACCAGCAAAUUUAUAUGUCUUGAUGCCGAUACGCUGGGGAACAGCUCGUUGCGCUUCAGACCAUAUGUCAAGAACAAUCUCGUGUGGCAACUACCUGGCUUGGCGUUGAUACUUUUUGUGAAGUUGAUAGAUCUUGUUCAUGUCAGCGAUGAUUAUAAAUUUCAUGAUUGGAAAGCUGUAUCAUCAACCGAUUCACAAUGACUGCUUCUGAGAGCAAGCAGGUUGCGGGAGGUCGUUACCGCUUUUGAAAAGCACCUGUCGAGCCCCCACGAAGUGAUUGUGUUGACCAGGACUGGACGAGUAAUUUUGAGCAAUUUCCGGCCCCGCUAGCUGGAACUUUUAACUGGUUAAUUCGAAAAAAUCUAAUAGGGAUUAAGAAGCUUGCGGAAGAACACUGGCAUAUAUGAUAAAUGUGAGGAGAGAGGAUUCAACCUUCUAGCAGAGGACAUGUAAGACUUGUUGAAUAACUGCAAGGUAAGUAUUAUGUGGAAUUGUUCAACA